RNAcentral lists this ribosomal RNA (274 nucleotides) under uncultured bacterium. RNAcentral describes it as "partial 16S ribosomal RNA". It matches the Rfam family "Bacterial small subunit ribosomal RNA", at positions 523 to 796 of the family's 1533-position model. The record is from RNAcentral.
AUACGGAGGGUGCGAGCGUUACUCGGAGUCACUGGGCGUAAAGCGUCCGUAGGCGGUCGGGUAAGUCGGGUGUGAAAGCCCCGGGCUCAACCUGGGAAGUGCACCCGAUACUGCUCGACUCGAGUGCGGGAGAGGAUGGCGGAAUUCCCGGUGUAGCGGUGAAAUGCGUAGAGAUCGGGAGGAACAACAGUGGCGAAGGCGGCCAUCUGGCCCGCAACUGACGCUGAGGGACGAAAGCGUGGGGAGCAAACAGGAUGAGAAACCCCAGUAGUCC